Molecule: ribosomal RNA, 497 nt
Filed under: uncultured bacterium
Lineage: Bacteria
Description: partial 16S ribosomal RNA
Rfam family: Bacterial small subunit ribosomal RNA
Source: RNAcentral
GAUGAACGCUGGCGGCGUGCCUAAUACAUGCAAGUCGAGCGAACAGAUGAGGAGCUUGCUCCUCUGACGUUAGCGGCGGACGGGUGAGUAACACGUGGAUAACCUACCUAUAAGACUGGGAUAACUUCGGGAAACCGGAGCUAAUACCGGAUAAUAUAUUGAACCGCAUGGUUCAAUAGUGAAAGACGGUUUUGCUGUCACUUAUAGAUGGAUCCGCGCCGCAUUAGCUAGUUGGUAAGGUAACGGCUUACCAAGGCGACGAUGCGUAGCCGACCUGAGAGGGUGAUCGGCCACACUGGAACUGAGACACGGUCCAGACUCCUACGGGAGGCAGCAGUAGGGAAUCUUCCGCAAUGGGCGAAAGCCUGACGGAGCAACGCCGCGUGAGUGAUGAAGGUCUUCGGAUCGUAAAACUCUGUUAUUAGGGAAGAACAAAUGUGUAAGUAACUAUGCACGUCUUGACGAUACCUAAUCAGAAAGCCACGGCUAACUACGUG